AGAUGGAAAAGGCUGCUGUGUUUUACUACAGCAGGAGCAGAGUUGGGGGUUCGCCACGUGCUCCAAAAAGUGCGCAGUCGAGGAAAGUGGGAGUGAUGAUGAUGAUGAUGAUGAUGAUGGUGGAGUGGUUGCGUAACGCACGCGCACCAUCCCGUCAGUCAGUCAGUAACAGCCGUCUGCUCGUGCUGGCCUGUUCGAGGAAGCGCGUGCGUAUUCAAUUCUGUGAAAAACGCCCCCCAUCUUCCGCCCCGUUCCUCCUAUAGGCUCAGUGCAAAGGUAUCGCAGAGCCGGGGGUGGCUUUAAAAACAUCCACUGUGCUCAUUCUGCCUCGCUGCCCGUCUUUCUCUCCCUCGGCUGUCUCUCGUUGGCGUACAGAGCGCACCAAAGAUGCCCAGCAAAAGCAAGAAAAACAAGCGCCGCAUGAAAAGGGCGAGAGCCCUGAAGGCGGUUCUUGAAGAGCAACAUGCAGCUAAGACACCAGUCAAAGCCAGCCGUGGGCUUGCUGUCGGUGCACCCCCUGCAACAAACCAAAAGAAACCAGUUAAAAAACCUACUCCUGCUCCAGCGCCAACACCAUGCCUGGCCCCUACUCUAGCCUCAGCUUCAGCUCCAACUCCAUGCCUGGCUCCAUCCCCAGCUCCAGUUGCAGAACAAGUUCCUGCUAAGAUUGUAGAACCCAUUCCCGUUGCUGUUCCCAUUGUGGAAGUCGCCAAAGUUGAACCAAAACCCAUUGUGCCAGAACCUGUUGCAGAGCCUGUCCCAUGUGAGAUAAAGUUGCCCGAGCCCGUUUUGAUUGAAGAGACUCCAGUUGAGGUAAAGUUGCCGGAGCCCGUUUUGAUUGAAGAAACUCCAGUUGAGGUAAUGUCGCCGGAGCCUGUUUUGAUUGAAGAGACUCCAGUUGAGGUAAAGUCGCCGGAGCCUGUUUUGAUUGAAGAGACUCCAGUUGAGGUAAAGUCGCCGGAGCCUGUUUUGAUUGAAGAGACUCCAGUAGAGGUGGAAGACAAAAUCCCAGCACCCGUCACUGAAGACGAAAAAGUUAUUUCGACGCAACAAGUUUUGGAACCUCCUACAGCGGAAGUUGUUGUGGAACUCAAGACUGAACAGGUCAUUCCUGAACCAGAAACAGUCCCAGAGCAGGUCUCACCUUUAGCUGAGGCUGCAGUGGAGACUCCUGCUCAGACAGAGGUUCCAACAUUUGAGACCACAGUUCUACUAAAGGAGGCUGAACAGGAUGUACCAAUCCAGUGUGUGGAAGUCCCAGAGGUGCCAAGUAUCAUCGCAGAGGAGAAGAAAGAAGAGGCUGAAGCUCCCGUUACAGAAGUUAAACAGCUCAUUGAAGACUCGCUGGUUGAAAACCUGACUGUCACUGAACCUCCAACAGUAAUUGAGUGUGAAAUCACUGAGUCUGCAGUUGUUCAACAGGAACCCGUGGCCGUUGCUGAUGCCCUCGCCGUGCAAACAGAAUGUGUGGUGGAGCCUCCUGCUGAGCCUGAGCCUGAGCCCAUUGUUGCACCUACAGAGGAAGUAGUCAGUGAUUGUGGCAUUGACCUGCUGCCAGAGGAGCCCAUGUCAAAUGUCUGUGACAUGGCAUGUCCGAUGCAGCUCUCUGUGGACUCUGUGCAGCUCAGCUCAGUGGAGAUGUCCAUGGACACAGUGCUGUCUGCACACAUGGCCCCAGAGGUUCCCAUCGAGGGUUAGAUGAUGAUCCAUACCAAACAACUUCUCUUUAUUCCCUUUCGGUCAUUUGGAAGACAUGCUACCUGACUUGAAGUCAUCCAGAUGAGAUUUUUCAUUCUUGAGGCUUAGUAAGGGACCAUCAGGAAAUCUAAGGGAUAUCCAUGCUUUGAAGUGCCUUUUCCUGGCCUUGGUUUUUGUUAUAUUAGAAAUAACAUCGAUGUGCAAAAAACAGGAGGGAAACAACAUACAUUCAAGGCCAUGCAUUUCACCAUUAAAUCAGUUUACCAACACAUACAAAUAUGUAGGAGGAAGAAAAGAAAGCAGAAGAGGUGAAAAUUUGACUUGAUAAUCCUGUUCCUUCACUCUGUGCAUGUGAGAACUCAACACGUAAACUCACAAGAGACAGAAAACCAGUUUUAUUUUCAUCCUACUUCACAUAAACUCAAUUUUUACCCUCUUUUCUGACCUUCGAUCAUCUGCUUCAGCUAUGUGCCAACGCUAAAGCGAGUGUGAUACUAAAAUCUAUAUCGCCAAAGCCUGAGUUUUCAGCUUGAGAGACUGAUGAGUGACAGGUUCUUCAGAGGAUUAACCCACAUGUCUUUUUAAAGAUCCUUUUCCCACCGUUUUUUCUUCUUUUUUUGUAAUUGAUUUUGUAUAGAUCUAAUGAUGUGCUACAGUUUUGUGUUCAAAGAUCAUGUUGUGGGAAAGAUGAUUUGAAUUAGGUUUGUAAGUUGGUUGGUUGGUUGACCUUUGAAAUAAAGCUGUAAUUCAUCUGGAUUCA
Molecule: long non-coding RNA, 2458 nt
Organism: Gouania willdenowi (blunt-snouted clingfish)
Lineage: Eukaryota; Metazoa; Chordata; Actinopteri; Blenniiformes; Gobiesocidae
Product: calphotin-like
Source: Ensembl